Molecule: ribosomal RNA, 254 nt
Filed under: uncultured bacterium
Lineage: Bacteria
Description: partial 16S ribosomal RNA
Rfam family: Bacterial small subunit ribosomal RNA
Source: RNAcentral
UACGAAGGGGGCUAGCGUUGUUCGGAAUCACUGGGCGUAAAGCGCACGCAGGCGGAUUGUUAAGUCAGGGGUGAAAUCCCGAGGCUCAACCUCGGAACUGCCUUCGAUACUGGCAAUCUUUGAGUCCGGGAGAGGUGAGUGGAACUCCGAGUGUAGAGGUGAAAUUCGUAGAUAUUCGGAAGAACACCAGUGGCGAAGGCGGCUCACUGGCCCGGUACUGACGCUCAGGUGCGAAAGCGUGGGGAGCAAACAGG